This 927-nucleotide long non-coding RNA is filed under the name Homo sapiens (human). RNAcentral's name for it is "HSALNT0071730". Lineage: Eukaryota; Metazoa; Chordata; Mammalia; Primates; Hominidae. The record is from RNAcentral.
GGAGUUCUUGACUCUACACCAAAGCAGAGAACAGAGGUUCAGAAUGAUAUUUACAAUGGUGAAAAGAGACAAAGAGUUGAGAGCCAAGUUUGAAGAAAGGAAUGAACCUUAAUACAAAACAUUGGAGGAAGUCAUCUUCCACCAAAAGCAAUUAUUAAAGAUUCGGUCAUUUGAAGAAACCUUGUAUCUUUUCCUUCUCAAUUAAAAAAAUUAUCAGGAUUCUGAUGAGAUGGUGGCCAGAAUAUACAUCCCUGUUGCUCUGAUAUCCACUUCAAACACUGACCCAACCACCAACUACAUCUCCAGUGGGGGACAGGUGCUUGAACUGAAGAGUUUGUGACCCUGCAAGACCCUGACCCUGUCAAGCUGCAAGCUUAGGAUGAUUCUCAGUUCUGGGCCUGGAGGUUGGCCUGGGCUAAGGAUUUGAACUCUUUUAUUCCUAAAAGGAUAUUGGACAUCUAGGACCUAUGGAUCCUCAAGAGGAAAAGCCAUGCCAGCCCACACAUGUGAUUUUUUAAGGUAUUCAAUGUAUUUUUAAUAAGUGAACAAAGGAGGGAAGAAAUACAGGAGGGAAGAGAGGAAGGAUUAAUUUUUUAAUUAAAAAAAUCAAGUUCUGAGAUGACUUGUUUUAAAAAGACCAAAGCUUAUCUUUCUGACCACUACUACCAGCUCAUUUUCAAUAACCUUCCCCUACACUCGCCCCUCUGUCUCUGGGGCAGAGUGGCAGUCAUGUCCCACAAAGCAUUUCACCUCACAUGCCAUUUUAGGAGGAUUUGCUGAUCUUUAAGCCUUCUCCCUCUGCCUAUGAAAGCAGUAAUCAAGUUCUUCUUAAUGUUUGCUGAAGGGAUUGAAGAGUCUCCAAUUUUUACAUCCCUGUUUGUCAACAGUAGUACUUCCUACUGCUUUCAGGUUUUCAUCACUCUUAGG